Molecule: non-coding RNA, 31 nt
Filed under: Rattus norvegicus (Norway rat)
Lineage: Eukaryota; Metazoa; Chordata; Mammalia; Rodentia; Muridae
Source: RNAcentral
UCCUUUCAAAGUCAAACUACUAGAGUGAGGU